RNAcentral lists this unclassified non-coding RNA (1952 nucleotides) under Pectinophora gossypiella (pink bollworm). RNAcentral's name for it is "cytochrome b5". Lineage: Eukaryota; Metazoa; Arthropoda; Insecta; Lepidoptera; Gelechiidae. The record is from RNAcentral.
UAGUUUAUUCAUUCUUUGGUGUCAAUCGAGUAAUCCGAGUACCUAUUAUUUUAAAAUAUAUAUAUUUUUCUGCUUAGAUUUCUGCUAUCAAUGUACAAAUCUCUUUACAACUAAUUCACAAAAUUAUCUUAAAUUUACGCUGUGUACAGGGACGUCAGUCUCAUUGUUAUCAGCACAGGCCACAGACGCUGCGCACAACGCACAAGUGCCGUAAGCAGUAAGUGGGCACCGGGCACGCAUAGACAGCCAGUCGACGAGGUGACACGGUAGCGAGCAGCCGCGCCGCAGCACGAGCCAGCAUAGCAUCCAGUGAGCAGGAUGACCGAGGAGGUGAAGCUGUUCACGCGGGAGGAGCUGAAGGCGCGCAACAAGCGCACAGACGCCGUGCUCAUCAUACACAACGGCGUCUACGACGUCACCAAGUUCCUCGACGAGCAUCCCGGCGGUGAGGAGGUGCUGCUGGAGAAGGCUGGCCAGGACGCCACGGAGCCCUUCGAGGACGUCAGCCACAGCUCCGAUGCUAGGUCUCUUAUGAAGAAGUACAAAAUCGGCGAGCUGGUGGAGGCGGACCGCACGGCAAACAAGGCUGCGUACGCGCCGGACUGGAACAACGACCAGCCGCAGGAGCAGGGCAACAGUGCGUGGAGCUCGUGGCUGGCGCCGCUGGUGCUGGGCGUGGCGGCCACCAUCCUCUAUCGGUACCUGUUCGCGUAGCCUCACUUCUGCCCAGGCCACCGCCCGCCAUCACCCGCAACCAGCCGCCGCGCGACGCCUCUCGCCACUACCCCAAUAUUUCUAUAGGUACAUUGCUACGAGCGAUACUAUUUGCUUGGCGCUCUUUCGGGUACUCUUUUCUUUCCAUCCACUUUUUUACAUUGUAUGUAUGUAUGUAUGAGAUUGACAACACAAGUAUUUCUAUGUUGUUUUGAUAUUGUAAUUGCCAAAUAUUUGUAAACCUUACCACUGUAAUAUUUCACAUUUAUGGUUCACCACAAAUGAUCUGAUACCAUUUUGUGUAUUUACUUCUGAAAUUAUAUUUUGAGAAGAUUUCAAUCUAUAGACAAUAAUAUGAAGAGAGAGAUUACAAAUACCUAUUUAAGUUUAUAUGAAAUAUGUUUUUAUAAUGAUUAAUGAUACAAUUUGGCACAAGGUGUGAAAUGAUUGAACCUCUAUUGAAGUGUAGAUAAGUUUUAUUUGCUUUGUAAUUUCUGGAUGUAUAGUAUUAAGGCAUUCUUGUAUGAAACCAGAGCGAUUUUAGUUUACCUUGGCCAUGACUUGUAAAGUGGCAGACAAAGAAAAAGUUAAAAGAACUAUGAAUCUUAUAAAAUAUUUUUAAUGCCUUUAGCAUAAGCAAUAAUAUUUGUUUAGAAUGUGUGGUUCGUAUUGUGGCUUGUAUAGACCGGGGGUAUCUUGGGUGCUGAUGUUAAGAGUAAAUAUGUUUGUUACAAUGUCAAUUAUAUAUGUAUUUACGUAACAACACAUUAUACAUGUUCUUACGAUGGGUAGGAGGUGCACAAACUAUAUCUAUGUUAAAUUACCAUAUUAAUGCUUCAGGUGUACAUAUACAAUGCUAUAAAAGAAACUGUAAUGAGGAAUACUUAAAAUACACUCCACAAAGGAAUGUUUAUGUUCACAUCAGCCGUGCAGCCAGUGCAUGUGUUGUGUGGACAGUCAGACUGAGUGGCAUUUACCUGCAUACAUGGCCUUAUUUAAUUGGUAUUUUCUAAGUUUAACAUUUUAUACAAAAAUUGUAUGACAUUGAAAUAUUUAGGAAAUUUUAUGUAAAUUAUUUAUUCUUAUUUUGUGUGGGUUAUGAGAUCAAUUACCAAGGGUUAUAAGAUCAAUUACCAACCUCAUCAACCCUGGAGCCAGGGUUACUUUCAUUUAAAAUGAGUUUUGUUGUAUAUGCAUAAAUUAAAUAUUAUUUGAAUUAAUAAAGGAUUUUUAUUUUA